UAUUUGGCUUUGGGAAGGCUAUGCCUUAUCGCUGCUCUCUUCAAGCUGCUUCCAGGAUGUACUCAAGGGAGUGCUGGAGAGUGAACCUCAACACUUGUGGAUUCUCAGAGAGGUCUGGAUAAUCAUCAGAAGGUCUGGAUGUUUAUUUGAACCUUGUUUAAACAAUUUGGGUCCCUUGGGUCUGCAAUUUUGGGUCAGCAACCUUUUACAUAUGACUCUUGGUAUCUCUGUUUUCUGAUGAGGCUGGACACACUCACGUGUCUCUUUGAAGCGGUAUUUUUCUGCUGUUUUUACUACUGUUAGGGGGUUAUCAGGUCACCAGUUUUUGGAUUCUGGUUCAGGAAAGGCCUUAGACAUGUUCCUGGCCUUGAGUAUAAAGCAAAACAACAAGGACUGGAGAACAUGCUUUAAAGAAAUGAGGUAGACAUAGGAAAAAAUAUCAGACAGAAAAGUUGUGACAGCUGGUGUGCAUGUGACUGAUUUGAGACAGCAAACAUCUGCGGAUCAUAAGCCCUUGGUUAGUUUGUGGGAAAAGACAAGUUGCACGAAAAGGUAAAAGUGCAAAUGAAAAUGAGAGUGCAUUUCUCUUUGAGUCUUGGUUUACAUUCAGCUUUACUAAGAAAGGGGGAAUACAAAUAUGGUAUACAAAGCCAUCAGGAAGUAAUAAAAAUACAAAUAUGUGCACUGUAAGGGCUGUAUAUCACACUUACUUUCCUCUCACAUAAGCUAGUUUCCUUAAUCAAGCCUCAAAAUGCAGGCUCAUGGGUACUGAAAAUAUGUGUUUUCUGUAAUUUCUAGCAUUAGGGGGCCUACCAGUUCAGGAUGUAACUUAUGUAGCAGUAAUUCUAGGACUGAACUGCUAAACAGCAGGAACGGGAAGCACGUCUGAUCAUCCUCCAAAUUUUGCAGAUUUUGGGAAUGCCUUGAGCAAGGACUUUGGCAUCUGAAUUCCCUGUGCAGCCUGACUGAGGCUUUUUGGCAGAAAGAUGUAGGUGCAAUGAGACAGUCAUCUCAGUCCAACAGAGAACACCGCUUUUGGUAGAGGAACUAGUUUUCUUUGUAAAUCUAAUUGGCUUUGAAAAACAAGCUAAUGGCUGAAGUAUCUGCAGAGCAGCUUUCAUGUAAACUCAUCUUCUAUGAGAUAAAGAAAAUAACUUUUUAAAGAAUAUGUAUUAUUUUAAUCUUUGUCCUUGAAAUUAACAAAUUAACUUUCUCUGUGAUCUGUGACUGCCUCUGGCUGUGUUUUUACUGUCGUAACAGCCUCUGGAAGAUCGUGCGUCUCUCACAUUCACUGCAAAGUAAACAGGAAUUCUUUCCAAGGGUAACUGGCCAAGCUCCAGUGGAAGAAUGCAAGUUAUUCAUGAGUUCUGGUAGGCUCAUUUAUGCUUAAUAUGGUUUGUUUUUAUUAUGGACUUUGUGAAGAGAAGAAAAGUAAUGAAAAAUUUUAAAUCCCCUUGGAUUAUUUUCUUCAAACGUGGAAAAUAACCUUCUCACGCCCUCCCCAGCACACAGCCACACUGCUCUUUGUCCUGGCUGCAUUCACAUCUUUUCUACCUUUAGUCACAAGAAGCUGAGCUGGCAGAAGGAUACCAAGAUGUGGCUAGGACAUGUCAUUCUCAUUCUGAGAACCCAGCUGGUGUCGCAGACAAGCACAGCAAUCCAUCACAGCUUUGGUGAAGGCCUGCCAACACCAUCCACCGUUUGCCCAGAAGAUUCCCCUUCCCAAGCACGGGCAGCAGCAAUUGGAAUUUCUUUGUCUUGCACAACCUUCAUAGAAAAGGAAGAAAAGUCCUUGAGGUAUUCAAGCAGAUUCAAUGUUAUAAGAGCAGACCGGGGCCAGGUGAACUGUGCUCGGGUCCUGUGUCCUUUGUGGCACCAGCAGGUCUCCUGUACCCAUGCAGCACAUCUCAAUCAUUGUGCCUUUCCUGCUUUUGUCUGGUUUGCUCUCCAGGGCUUCUGAGGCUUUGUGGUUCUUCCCAUUCUGACAAACUGAGCUGCCCUUUAGUGCUUUCCUGGGACUUGUGGGAAUAUGUAUUCUGUUUUAAUAUUGCUGUUUAAGAAAUAAUGUUGUUAUUGAGUGGAUAUUCUCUCUUUUUAAGUGCUAUUAAAUUUUAAGUGAAUAUGGACAUAAUGUCUUAUAAUAGCUUUUAGUGUGAAAUUCUAAGCUGCUUCGCCAUAAAAAAACAGACUUAAGCUUAGCAAAACUCAUUUUAAUUAUUAUUAAAUUAGGGUUUAAGUUAAAUUAUUAAUUAUAAUAUCUGGGUUUAUGUAUAUGGGGUGCAGAAAACAUGGAUUUCUCCAACGUCCCACCAAAAGAGCUAUAUUGAGUCAAGACUGAACCCUUAACACUGGACUUUUAAGAGGAAGACAUUAUGUAGCAAAUUGCAUGAGUUGAAUUAUGGGCAUCUAAAUGAGUGUGCAACUGGUCAGGACCUCCUGGCAAGUCUCAUGUGAUAUUUUAUGACUAACAUCAAUAGCAGCUGAGCAAAAAAAGUGUUUUUCUUCAGCUGCCCUUUGGUUAGAGUUGAACAGACAGGUUAGCUCAGUCCAAUUUGUUCCAUUCACCUCUCUUCCCUUUUUGUUUUCCCUUUGACUAUUCAAGUGCCCAUCUUUUGUUUCAACUAAUACUCAAAUAGGAGGUUUUAAUUUCACAUGAAAGAACACACUGGUGUGAUGCCAGGGAUUUACACCAGAAUUUCUGGCAUACUCAACUCUGUGUUUUGGCUGCCUGUAUGUAUUUGGAAAUGAGGGUAUUAAAAAGGAAGGGAACAUUAUUCAUUCCAAUGCUUAGCAUAAUGCAGCAUUUCUAAAUGUUCAAAGCACUGUCCAGACAUCAUCUUAAUAAUCUCAUAAUCUUUCCAGGAAUAUAAACAGAGUUUAUCUCCUUCUAAUGCUGAAGCAAAUUUCUCAAGGGCAGGAAUGGGAAAGGCUCCACUUCUCUUAUUUCACAGAAUCACAGAAUCACAGGGUUUGGAAGGGAUGUCAAGAGAUCGAGUCCAAACCCCCUGCUAAAUUUUCAGGUAAGUUUGGACUGAGAGCCUUGAAGCAGUUGGCUGGAAAAAUCAUUAAACCUUCCAGAUGGACUCUGCUUUGUCUUUGGACUGGUUGACCCAUCUCACGACUGUGUCCCCAGGCAGUGCUGCCUGCCGGUCCUGAGGCGCUGAAGUCACAAUACAAGCAAUGGAAAUUUUCCAAACUGGGGAAGAACAGCUGGGGGUUGAACAGUUGGCACCAUGAUGAAGAAGAAGAUGAAAUAAAGGAGCAGAAAUAGGUGGUCGUAGACCAUCAUAGUCCCCAGCUGCACGUUCCCAGAGGGACACUAGCAUAUAUUGAUGAUUUCUUAGAAAACAGUGAAUGAAUAUGUAUGCCAGUGUAUUUCGUAUGUCUGUCUUAACUGUUUAAAUGUAGAACCUGAACUCUAAGUCACCCAGUACAUAUUGUGAGAAUAAAGGAAUGCUGGCUU
This is a long non-coding RNA of Tympanuchus pallidicinctus (lesser prairie-chicken), 3463 nucleotides long. RefSeq lists it as uncharacterized. The record is from RefSeq and is a predicted model, not a curated record. The transcript is spliced from 3 exons. Lineage: Eukaryota; Metazoa; Chordata; Aves; Galliformes; Phasianidae.